GAUGAACGCUGGCGGCGUGCUUAACACAUGCAAGUCGAACGGAAAGGCCUCUGCUUGCAGGGGUACUCGAGUGGCGAACGGGUGAGUAACACGUGGGUGAUCUGCCCUGCACUUCGGGAUAAGCCUGGGAAACUGGGUCUAAUACCGGAUAGGACAAUGGUUUGGAUGCUGUUGUGGAAAGUUUUUCGGUGUGGGAUGAGCUCGCGGCCUAUCAGCUUGUUGGUGGGGUAAUGGCCUACCAAGGCGUCGACGGGUAGCCGGCCUGAGAGGGUGUACGGCCACAUUGGGACUGAGAUACGGGCCAGACUCCUACGGGAGGCAGCAGUGGGGAAUAUUGCACAAUGGGCGCAAGCCUGAUGCAGCGACGCCGCGUGGGGGGUGACGGCCUUCGGGUUGUAAACUCCUUUCGCUAGGGACGAAGCGUUUUUGUGACGGUACCUGGAGAAGAAGCACCGGCUAACUACGUG
RNAcentral lists this ribosomal RNA (467 nucleotides) under uncultured bacterium. Its description in RNAcentral is "partial 16S ribosomal RNA". It matches the Rfam family "Bacterial small subunit ribosomal RNA", at positions 28 to 507 of the family's 1533-position model. The record is from RNAcentral.